RNAcentral lists this long non-coding RNA (696 nucleotides) under Cricetulus griseus (Chinese hamster). RNAcentral describes it as "lncRNA (ENSCGRG00015031589.1)". The record is from RNAcentral. Lineage: Eukaryota; Metazoa; Chordata; Mammalia; Rodentia; Cricetidae.
GGAAGAUGAUGGAAUUGUAAUAGUUGGUUGAGUCUGUUUUAGGUCUGUUUUUCAAGCCUUUGGUUGGGGAGUGACUUUUGAAGUCAAUGACAAUGCCAGGUUUAAGAAGAUUUCUGGAGGCAUGUGUUUAGGGAAUGGCGUGGAUGAGACAAAGACUCGAUUUAUAGACUGCCCCACACAACUGCUGUGUCCUGAGCACCAACAGUGUGAAAGGAGUACGCGGCCGUCAACCCCUGUGAAGGACCAUCCCUUUCAAGAGCAAUGUGAAUACAGUGCCCAGCCACGGAAAGGGGAGUCACAAAUGAAAACAAAAGACAUACAUUCAAAAGACGACCUGUACCCUGAUUUUCUUAUGAAAUGCUUAAUGAAAAGAUGCUCAAACACCUCCAUGGAUUUGUGGAUUCUGAAGUAGGAAGGCAGCAGGAACAGAAGCCCAUGGGCUGUCUUCACUGACCUUAAUUGUUUGGGUUUCGAGUUUAGCAGCUAAAUGGUCCUGCCUGGAGAAUGUGCUUUGUUUCACGCUGAUGUUUGAAGAAAUUCCCUGGUUUGUAUCAGUCAUACAUCAUGUCAGGCUGGAGUGUCCUUUACCAACCCGGAAAUUCAAGACUGACUCACAAUGGCUAUACCUGACUCUAGAGCAAAGGCCUCUGGCUGAACUUUUGUCUCUUCCAUGUAUUACUAUGGGAUUGCAGGCAG